GACGAACGCUGGCGGCGUGCUUAACACAUGCCAGUCGAACGGAAAGGCCCUGCUUUUGUGGGGUGCUCGAGUGGCGAACGGGUGAGUAACACCUGAGUAACCUGCCCUUGACUUUGGGAUAACUUCAGGAAACUGGGGCUAAUACCGGAUAGGAGCUCCUGCUGCAUGGUGGGGGUUGGAAAGUUUCGGCGGUUGGGGAUGGACUCGCGGCUUAUCAGCUUGUUGGUGGGGUAGUGGCUUACCAAGGCUUUGACGGGUAGCCGGCCUGAGAGGGUGACCGGCCACAUUGGGACUGAGAUACGGCCCAGACUCCUACGGGAGGCAGCAGUGGGGAAUAUUGCACAAUGGGCGGAAGCCUGAUGCAGCAACGCCGCGUGCGGGAUGACGGCCUUCGGGUUGUAAACCGCUUUCGCCUGUGACGAAGCGUGAGUGACGGUAAUGGGUAAAGAAGCACCGGCUAACUACGUG
Molecule: ribosomal RNA, 468 nt
Filed under: uncultured bacterium
Lineage: Bacteria
Description: partial 16S ribosomal RNA
Rfam family: Bacterial small subunit ribosomal RNA
Source: RNAcentral